RNAcentral lists this long non-coding RNA (555 nucleotides) under Citrus sinensis (sweet orange). RNAcentral describes it as "long non-coding RNA (CSIN_LNC005800)". The record is from RNAcentral. Lineage: Eukaryota; Viridiplantae; Streptophyta; Magnoliopsida; Sapindales; Rutaceae.
GAGAGUUAUAACAUUAACAUAAAUUUUUCUUUCAACUAGACACUGAUGAGAUAUCUCACUUUUAAACCCUUCAGCUCUCUGUAAUUUCAUUACUAUUAUAUUCCACGAGGGAUAUAAUGGUUCGUAUAUCUUGGCAUUUCUUCAUUAACUGAAUUAUCUUUCAUAAUAUUCCAAUUUCAAAUGGGUACACUGUGGAGCCGGUUGGAUGCAGAAUUCCUUCUAGUUCAUAUGUGCUCUCUAAAAUUCAAAGACUGAAUAGUGGUUCUAGCAACUCUUUUGAGGCAAUCUAAGGUAUAAUCCCCCCAUUACUGCUUCUGCUUUAUCCGUUUUACCUUGCAGCAUUUUAGAAUUUGUGAGAAGCUAAAAAUUAUUGAGUCAGAAUUGAGGAUCUAAACUUCUGUAAAAACAUUCAUAUUUUUAAAUCAUAAAGUAUUGCAUCUGAUGCUUUAGGUGGAACAUAGUUCAUUGUGGAAAGGAAAAUUAUGUUGGUUGCAUAACCAGAUGCUUUUCAAGAGAAAAUUUCACUGAUAUUUUUCUGAGGAUUUUUGCUUGGCC